RNAcentral lists this transfer RNA (91 nucleotides) under Actinoplanes campanulatus. Its description in RNAcentral is "tRNA-Thr". Lineage: Bacteria; Bacillati; Actinomycetota; Actinomycetes; Micromonosporales; Micromonosporaceae. The record is from RNAcentral.
CGGUCACGUCGCCGGUGGUGGUGAUGCGGCCGAUGGUGUUGGCCUGGUUGCGGGUGAACCAGAGGGCGCCGUCCGGGCCGGCGGUGAUCGC